GCCGCGGUAGCCCAGGUAGCAGUGGCGUCACCGGUACAGGUGGCGAAAGUCGCAGGUUCAAAUCCUGCCUGCGGUA
Molecule: non-coding RNA, 76 nt
Organism: Phthorimaea operculella (potato tuberworm)
Lineage: Eukaryota; Metazoa; Arthropoda; Insecta; Lepidoptera; Gelechiidae
Source: the annotation of a GenBank genome assembly